AUUGAACGCUGGCGGCAUGCCUUACACAUGCAAGUCGAACGGUAACAGGUCUUCGGAUGCUGACGAGUGGCGAACGGGUGAGUAAUACAUCGGAACGUGCCCGAUCGUGGGGGAUAACGGAGCGAAAGCCUUGCUAAUACCGCAUACGAUCUACGGAUGAAAGCAGGGGACCGCAAGGCCUUGCGCGGACGGAGCGGCCGAUGGCAGAUUAGGUAGUUGGUGGGAUAAAAGCUUACCAAGCCGACGAUCUGUAGCUGGUCUGAGAGGACGACCAGCCACACUGGGACUGAGACACGGCCCAGACUCCUACGGGAGGCAGCAGUGGGGAAUUUUGGACAAUGGGCGAAAGCCUGAUCCAGCCAUGCCGCGUGCAGGAUGAAGGCCUUCGGGUUGUAAACUGCUUUUGUACGGAACGAAAAGACUCUUUCUAAUAAAGAGGGUCCAUGACGGUACCGUAAGAAUAAGCACCGGCUAACUACGUG
RNAcentral lists this ribosomal RNA (482 nucleotides) under uncultured bacterium. Its description in RNAcentral is "partial 16S ribosomal RNA". It matches the Rfam family "Bacterial small subunit ribosomal RNA", at positions 30 to 507 of the family's 1533-position model. The record is from RNAcentral.